Molecule: long non-coding RNA, 1580 nt
Organism: Coturnix japonica (Japanese quail)
Lineage: Eukaryota; Metazoa; Chordata; Aves; Galliformes; Phasianidae
Source: Ensembl
AAUUAAAUUCCACCUUUUACGGGGGCUGGUCGGGUUGUUCUGGGAGGUCCCGGACGGGGAUCGGUAUGGGGGGGUCUCACCCCAUUGAAAUGAAUGGGAGGGGUCUCGCGCCAUUUGAAAUGAAUGGGAAGGGUCCUCACCGCCAUUGAAAUGAAUGGGCGGCUCUACAGCCAUUGAAAUGAAUGAGGAGAGGCUCUCACCCCAUUGAAUGAAUGGGGGGGGUCUCAGCCCAUUGAAAUGAAUGGGAAGGGGGGGGUCCUAUGGAUCCUAUGGGGGGUCCUAUGGGUCCUAUGGAUCCUAUGGGGGGUCCUAUGGGUCCUAUGGGGGGUCCUAUGGGUCCUAUGGAUCCUAUGGGGGUUCCUAUGGGUCCUAUGGAUCCUAUGGGGGGUCCUAUGGGUCCUAUGGAUCCUAUGGGGGGUCCUAUGGGUCCUAUGAAUCCUAUGGGGUGGUCCUAUGGAUCCUAUGGGGGGUCCAAUGGGUCCCUAUGGAUGGUCCUAUGGGUCCUAUGUAUUCUAUGGGGGGUCCUGGUGGAUCCUAUGGGGUCUAUGGACCUUAUGGGGGGGUCUAUGGGUUCCUAUGAUACCUAAUGGGGCGUCCUAUGGGUCCUUGUUGGGGGGUCCUAUGGAUCCUAUGGGGGGUCCUAUGGUCCUAUGGGGGGUCCUAUGGGUCCUAUGGAUGGUCCCUAUGAGGUCCUAUGGGGGGUCCUAUGGGGGGCUCUCACCCCAUUGAAAUGAAUGGGAGGGCUCUCACCCCAUUGAAAUGAAUGGGGAGGGCUCUCACCCCAUUGAAAUGAAUGGGGCCCCUCACCCCAUUAAAAUGAAUGGGAAGGGGGGGGGGGGUCCUCUUUCUUCCCUUACCCCACCCCCCCUAUAAUUAAUUCCACCUUUAGCGGGUGUUCGGGUUGUUCGGGGUCCGGAGGGAUACGGUAUGGGGGGUCUCGCCCCAAUUGAGAAUGCAAUGGGAGGGUCCCUCGACCCAGUUGGAACAUGAAUGGGGGGCUGCUAAGCCAUUGAAAAUGAAUGGGAGGGGUCUCACCCCAUUGAAAUGAAUGGGGCCUCUCACCCCAUUGAAAUGAAUGGGGACUCUAAGCCCAUUGAAAUGAAUGGGGGGCUCUAACAGCCCAUUGAAAUGAAUGGGGGGGGUCUCAAGGCCAUUGAAUGAAUGGGAGGGUUCCACCCCAUUGAAGAAUGGGAAAGGGGGGGGGUCCUAUGGAUCCUAUGGGGGGGGGUGUGUCCUAUGGGUCCUAUGGGGGGUCCAUUGGGUCCAUAUGGGGUUCUUAUGGUCCUAACGGCGUCCUAUGGGGGGUUCAUGGGUCUCUAUGGGGGUCCUAUGGUCCCUAUGGAAUCUAGGGGGUUCCUAUGGUCCUAUGGGGGGGAUUCUCACCCCAUUGGAAAUGAAUGGGCCCCUCCGGCCAUUGAAAUGAAUGGGAAGGGGGGGGGGGGGGGGUCUCUUCCUUCCCCUACCCACCCCCCACCCUAUAAUUAAUUCCACCCUUAGGGGGUGUCGGGUUGUUUCGGGGGUCCCGCAGGGAUCGGGGUCGGGCAUUGGAAAGCUUGGGGUCGGCCCUAACAACAUCACGU